GAUGAACGCUGGCGGCGUGCCUAAUACAUGCAAGUCGAGCGAACGGACGAGAAGCUUGCUUCUCUGAUGUUAGCGGCGGACGGGUGAGUAACACGUGGAUAACCUACCUAUAAGACUGGGAUAACUUCGGGAAACCGGAGCUAAUACCGGAUAAUAUUUUGAACCGCAUGGUUCAAAAGUGAAAGACGGUCUUGCUGUCACUUAUAGAUGGAUCCGCGCUGCAUUAGCUAGUUGGUAAGGUAACGGCUUACCAAGGCAACGAUGCAUAGCCGACCUGAGAGGGUGAUGGGCCACCCUGGAACUGAGACCCGGUCCAGACUCCGACGGGAGGCAGCAGUAGGGAAUCUUCCGCAAGGGGCGAAAGCCUGACGGAGCAACGCCGCGUGAGUGAUGAAGGUCUUCGGAUCGUAAAACUCUGUUAUUAGGGAAGAACAUAUGUGUAAGUAACUGUGCACAUCGUGACGGUACCUAAUCAGAAAGCCACGGCUAACUACG
This 495-nucleotide ribosomal RNA is filed under the name uncultured bacterium. RNAcentral describes it as "partial 16S ribosomal RNA". It matches the Rfam family "Bacterial small subunit ribosomal RNA", at positions 28 to 505 of the family's 1533-position model. The record is from RNAcentral.